CCUACGGGCGGCUGCAGUGGGGAAUAUUGCACAAUGGGCGCAAGCCUGAUGCAGCCAUGCCGCGUGUGUGAAGAAGGCCUUCGGGUUGUAAAGCACUUUCAGCGGGGAGGAAGGCGGUGAGGUUAAUAACCUCAUCGAUUGACGUUACCCGCAGAAGAAGCACCGGCUAACUCCGUGCCAGCAGCCGCGGUAAUACGGAGGGUGCAAGCGUUAAUCGGAAUUACUGGGCGUAAAGCGCACGCAGGCGGUCUGUCAAGUCGGAUGUGAAAUCCCCGGGCUCAACCUGGGAAUUGCAUUCGAAACUGGCAGGCUAGAGUCUUGUAGAGGGGGGUAGAAUUCCAGGUGUAGCGGUGAAAUGCGUAGAGAUCUGGAGGAAUACCGGUGGCGAAGGCGGCCCCCUGGACAAAGACUGACGCUCAGGUGCGAAAGCGUGGGGAGCAAACAGGAUUAGAUACCCGUGUAGUC
Molecule: ribosomal RNA, 465 nt
Filed under: uncultured Klebsiella sp.
Lineage: Bacteria; Pseudomonadati; Pseudomonadota; Gammaproteobacteria; Enterobacterales; Enterobacteriaceae
Description: bacterial SSU rRNA
Rfam family: Bacterial small subunit ribosomal RNA
Source: RNAcentral